Long non-coding RNA from Haemorhous mexicanus (house finch), 2015 nucleotides. RefSeq lists it as uncharacterized. The record is from RefSeq and is a predicted model, not a curated record. NCBI's taxonomy places the organism in Eukaryota, Metazoa, Chordata, Aves, Passeriformes, Fringillidae. The transcript has 2 exons.
GAGAGUAUAUUUUCUUCCUUAUUCAUACCCAUGCCCUAACCAUUGCAAUCAUGGAAGUCAUUUGACCAUGCAUGGUUAAGCAUCAACUAAUAAAUAAAUACUCUGUGCUGUUUUUUUUGAAAGGACUCCAGAGUGACUUAACUCUUCUAGUUGAGCUUAAUGAGUUUUCUGUUAUUAAGAUUCAUCGGAAGUGUUACUGGAAAGCAUUGAACCAGCUUCUGCAUUAUAGAAAACUCUUGCCUCAAUAUGUUUAAUAUUCUGAGCAUUUUAAAGUGCUUUUUAAAAAUGGACUUACUCUAGUAAUCUGUGAUGCAUCCUUCAGCAAGGAAUUGUAUAUUUAUUUCGCAGGUCCAAAAAGACGUAGAAUACCUCUUCAUCCAUCACAAAGAGCUUCUGUCCUUGCAUGUAGAUCUUUUAAAAAUAUAUGGAGUGCUAAAUUAGAGUGAAAGCACUCAAACCCAAGAUUAGUAGCACAGUUGGUGGUAACUUCAGAGGAAAACAUACCCUUGAAGCAUUCUUAAGUCAAAAGCAGAGAGUGAAUGAAAACAUUUUAAUGAAGACAUUUGCUUAUACAUUCUGGCAAAUGAAGAGAUUUUUCAAUCAGAAGACCUUAAAAUGUUACAUAUACAGGGAGAGAAAAUUAAAAAAUGGGGCAAUAAAAUGAAAGACUUAACAGGAUGAAAAUUUGUCUAAAUCAUUCCAGUACACAUAGUUUCUUUUGUAAAGAAAAUCUUCAAAUCCCUGAACUGCAGGUAACUGUUUAUUUUGCACUCAUGUUAGCAACGUAACUUCUGAUUUUUUUUUUUUGUUUUCCUAAACUUCUGUCAGAUGGUCUCUGCUGGUUCUCUGAACUGCAGACCUGAUACGGUCUUGUGGUACUUCUGAAAAAAGAGCUACUUGACAGUGUAGAACAGGCCUUUUCAGUGGUCAGCAAAGUGCAUUUGCUUCACUUUUAGAGACAAACUUAAGGAUAGAAUUUUGUGUGACACUUGUUUCAGAACAGAUUAAGGAAGAUUUAAUAACAGAAGCUGCAGAAAUAGAGAGUAGGAAUUUAUCUUCUGUUGCCUUCGAAGUCCUGUAUAAUUAUCCUCUUCAGUCCUGUGGAAGAUUGUUACCCACCCAAUGAAAGGCACCUUCUCUCAUGUAAUUUUUUGCGUAAUUAUGAUAAUCAUGGAUUUUAGCUUUUUUUUUAAAUUCAGUACUACAAAAAUGGUUUAUGUAAAAGAGAAUAUUAAAUUGUUCGUGUCUUACCAUCAUGUACAGUGACUUUCGAUGUUAAAAGUGAAGUAUAAAAACAAAUAUAUAUAUUUAUAUAUAAAAUAAAGUCGUUAUUAUUUUAGCUAAUGGCAGGUUGCUGAAUGAAAUUCUCUAAGCUUUUAUUCUUCAUGCGCAAACCAGAAAGGUUUUAAUAAUUUUCACUUUUAUUCAUGCUGAGGCAAAAAUUGAUUUUGGUAUGACUCAUACCAUGCAUUUGCCUUAAAUAUGAAAUUGAGAUUAGAAGAAGGUUGUAUUAAAUACUGUUUCACAACUGGGUAGAUUUGAGGAUUACUACCUUUCUGUGGGUUUCAGACAGAAAAUGAGAUUUCCCUUCUGUAAAUAAAGGGAAAUGUUUCAAUAAUAAUUCAGUAAUUGCUAUAUGCAUUUCUUAAAUGUAUAUAGCAAUUAUUGAAUUGAAAUGUCAUCUGGGUAGUUUCAUCCAAAGUUGACUACUUGAACUCUCCAAUAUAUUUCUCAAAAUGUAUCUAAAUUUUUACAUCCUCAAAAAAAGCACAAGCCAAAUGGUAACCUUGGUUUUAGGGCUGCAUUUGCACCUGUAUUAGUGCUGGUCAUAGGGUAAUAACUGUCACAUUGUCAAGUGUUCCUGGUUUAUUCUUCCAUUUGUCUGUACAACAAAGAAAUCGGUGCCCUCUUAUUUUCACAGGGGCAAGUGUUCAGCUGUGUAGAGCAAUCAGAAGCAGCUUGUAGAAGUCCUGAUUAGAUUUGCCAGGCAAACAGAGCUAUUUCCACUGCAAAAA